AUAAGGGCAGCUGGGCUUUUGGAGUGAUUGUGGCUCCUAGUAGAGAUGUAAGCACCAAAUUAGACAGAGGCACUACAGCUGAUCCAAGAGACAAAAGGUUUUAAUAAGAGCAUAUCUUAUUCUUUUCUGGGAGUUUGUUCGACAGGCAUAUUUGCAAAAAAAAAAUAGUAAGAAUAUGUAUGUUUUUCUUUUGUUGUUUGUGUCUUCCUCAAUCUACAGAGAGUUUUCCAUUUCCAUUUACAGCAACAUUACUAUAUCAGCUCCA
This 265-nucleotide long non-coding RNA is filed under the name Capsicum annuum. RNAcentral describes it as "long non-coding RNA (CANN_LNC018765)". Lineage: Eukaryota; Viridiplantae; Streptophyta; Magnoliopsida; Solanales; Solanaceae. The record is from RNAcentral.